This 240-nucleotide ribosomal RNA is filed under the name uncultured bacterium. Its description in RNAcentral is "partial 16S ribosomal RNA". It matches the Rfam family "Bacterial small subunit ribosomal RNA", at positions 334 to 593 of the family's 1533-position model. The record is from RNAcentral.
GAUCCUCGGGGGGCAGCAGUGGGGGAUAUUGCACAAUGGGGGGAACCCUGAUGCAGCGACGCCGCGUGGGUGAAGGAGUACUUCGGUACGUAAAGCCCUAUCAGCAGGAAAGAAAAUGACGGUACCUGACUAAGAAGCCCCGGCCAACUACGUGCCAGCAGCCGCGGUAAUACGCAGAGGGCAAGCGUUAUCCGGAUUUACUGGGUGUAAAGGGAGCGUAGACGGCAGUGCAAGUCCGGA